UUUGAUGCUAACGAGUUCACCUUUUGUUAGUGUAGGGUACAUUUCUCCCUUGACUCUCUCUAUCCUGUUCACUGGGCCCAUAUCUCUGCAGCAUGCUCUAGGGAGCUCAGCCAGUACCACCUCCAGUCCUGUGAGAGAGACCUGCCAUGCCUCGGCCCUAGUGCACCCUUUCUUGAACUGAUUCCAAGCUCUGCCUUCAUUGGCACGGAAGGCAGAGAGGACACUGCCAGCCCCAGCCUGCCCCAACCUGCUAGUGACCUCUCCAGGGCCCUGGAAGCCCAGUGACUCAGCAUGACUUAACAACCUGGCUUUCCAUGGGAGCCGAGAUAAUUUGCCACAUAUCCAGUGCAGGAUAAAAGCUGACGCUAUUUGGAAGAACAAUUCUAAGUUAAUAAUGAGAGGAAAAAAAGAAAGCCAGAUGUCUUUCCACUCUAGAGACAGGUUUUAGGACAGACAGAUACUGGGAGGUAGGGUCUGGGCCUUGCUGCUUUGGUCCAGGCCGGGGGUUACUACAGGACUCUUCUUUCUUGGUCAGAAGUGAUAAGGUUUAUUCCAAACUCUAAGAUGAUGUAACAUGUUGACCUUCUCUUUUUUGUAAGCUACAUGGACAGAUGGCCACUUGACAAGGUCGUACAAACACUGGGAAUUGGCUGACUCCGAAGUCGACGUUGGGGUUUUCAUUGCUGUGACUACCAAGGUACUUCAAAGCCACCAAGGGUGACCUUGUGUCCGAAUGCAAACUCAGAGGAGAAAAAUUUUGUCACUACAGCUUAAAACCAUGAGAACAAACCUAUCAAGGACAAGACUUGGGCCAGACUGCAGGAGAGGAGGCCUCCAGCCUGAUGUCCGGAGUUGGUAUCUGGUGGGAUUAAGAGAUACCGGGGCAUCCUGAUGACACUAGGAGGGGCACGUGGAAGUCCAGACCCCAAGUGGGAGAGGUAACUCAUAAUUUAUCAAGAUGUGAGCUCUCACCUAUUGCCCCAGCACCAUGCCUGCCUGCCUGCUGCCAUGUUCCCUACCAUGAUGGUCAUGGACUCACCAUUUGAAACUUUAAUUCCUAAUAAAGACCUUUUCUUUUAUAA
Long non-coding RNA from Rattus norvegicus (Norway rat), 1082 nucleotides. RefSeq lists it as uncharacterized. NCBI's taxonomy places the organism in Eukaryota, Metazoa, Chordata, Mammalia, Rodentia, Muridae. The record is from RefSeq and is a predicted model, not a curated record.